Molecule: ribosomal RNA, 1619 nt
Filed under: Salmonella enterica subsp. enterica serovar Newport
Lineage: Bacteria; Pseudomonadati; Pseudomonadota; Gammaproteobacteria; Enterobacterales; Enterobacteriaceae
Description: partial 23S ribosomal RNA
Rfam family: Bacterial large subunit ribosomal RNA
Source: RNAcentral
GUUGGGUAGGGGAGCGUUCUGUAAGCCUGUGAAGGUGUGUCGUGAGGCAUGCUGGAGGUAUCAGAAGUGCGAAUGCUGACAUAAGUAACGAUAAAGCGGGUGAAAAGCCCGCUCGCCGGAAGACCAAGGGUUCCUGUCCAACGUUAAUCGGGGCAGGGUGAGUCGACCCCUAAGGCGAGGCCGAAAGGCGUAGUCGAUGGGAAACGGGUUAAUAUUCCCGUACUUGGUGUUACUGCGAAGGGGGGACGGAGAAGGCUAUGUUGGCCGGGCGACGGUUGUCCCGGUUUAAGCGUGUAGGUGUGUGUUCCAGGUAAAUCCGGUUCACUUUAACACUGAGGCGUGACGACGAGGCACUACGGUGCUGAAGCAACAAAUGCCCUGCUUCCAGGAAAAGCCUCUAAGCAUCAGGUAACAUCAAAUCGUACCCCAAACCGACACAGGUGGUCAGGUAGAGAAUACCAAGGCGCUUGAGAGAACUCGGGUGAAGGAACUAGGCAAAAUGGUGCCGUAACUUCGGGAGAAGGCACGCUGACACGUAGGUGAAGUGAUUUACUCAUGGAGCUGAAGUCAGUCGAAGAUACCAGCUGGCUGCAACUGUUUAUUAAAAACACAGCACUGUGCAAACACGAAAGUGGACGUAUACGGUGUGACGCCUGCCCGGUGCCGGAAGGUUAAUUGAUGGGGUCAGCGCAAGCGAAGCUCCUGAUCGAAGCCCCGGUAAACGGCGGCCGUAACUAUAACGGUCCUAAGGUAGCGAAAUUCCUUGUCGGGUAAGUUCCGACCUGCACGAAUGGCGUAAUGAUGGCCAGGCUGUCUCCACCCGAGACUCAGUGAAAUUGAACUCGCUGUGAAGAUGCAGUGUACCCGCGGCAAGACGGAAAGACCCCGUGAACCUUUACUAUAGCUUGACACUGAACAUUGAGCCUUGAUGUGUAGGAUAGGUGGGAGGCUUUGAAGUGUGGACGCCAGUCUGCAUGGAGCCGACCUUGAAAUACCACCCUUUAAUGUUUGAUGUUCUAACGUGGACCCGUGAUCCGGGUUGCGGACAGUGUCUGGUGGGUAGUUUGACUGGGGCGGUCUCCUCCUAAAGAGUAACGGAGGAGCACGAAGGUUGGCUAAUCCUGGUCGGACAUCAGGAGGUUAGUGCAAUGGCAUAAGCCAGCUUGACUGCGAGCGUGACGGCGCGAGCAGGUGCGAAAGCAGGUCAUAGUGAUCCGGUGGUUCUGAAUGGAAGGGCCAUCGCUCAACGGAUAAAAGGUACUCCGGGGAUAACAGGCUGAUACCGCCCAAGAGUUCAUAUCGACGGCGGUGUUUGGCACCUCGAUGUCGGCUCAUCACAUCCUGGGGCUGAAGUAGGUCCCAAGGGUAUGGCUGUUCGCCAUUUAAAGUGGUACGCGAGCUGGGUUUAGAACGUCGUGAGACAGUUCGGUCCCUAUCUGCCGUGGGCGCUGGAGAACUGAGGGGGGCUGCUCCUAGUACGAGAGGACCGGAGUGGACGCAUCACUGGUGUUCGGGUUGUCAUGCCAAUGGCACUGCCCGGUAGCUAAAUGCGGAAGAGAUAAGUGCUGAAAGCAUCUAAGCACGAAACUUGCCCCGAGAUGAGUUCUCCCUGAGACUUA